This 400-nucleotide ribosomal RNA is filed under the name uncultured bacterium. RNAcentral's name for it is "bacterial SSU rRNA". It matches the Rfam family "Bacterial small subunit ribosomal RNA", at positions 96 to 513 of the family's 1533-position model. The record is from RNAcentral.
UGGCAAACGGGAGCGUAACACAUUGGUAACUUACCUCGCACUCGUGAAUAACUCUUGGAAACGAGAGCUAAUACGCGAUAAAGAUGGGGGGACUUCUGUCAUUCCCAUUGAAAGAUUUAUCGGUGCGAGAGAGACCUAUGGUCCAUCAGGUAGUUGGCGGGGUAACGGCCCACCAAGCCUAUGACGGAUACCAGGCGCGAGAGCGUGACCUGGCUCACUGGGACUGAGAACUGCCCAGACACCUACGGGUGGCUGCAGUCGAGAAUAUUCGACAAUGCACGAAAGUGUGAUCGAGCGACGCCGCGUGCCGAAUGAAGGCCUUCGGGUUGUAAACGGCUUUUCUCAGGGACGAAUUUUGACGGUACCUGAGGAAUAAGGGGUUGCUAACUCUGUGUACGUG